UCCUGAGUGGCUCAGAGAGUAAAGAAUCUGCCUGCAAUGCAGGAGACACAGAUUCGACCCCUGGUUCAGGAA
Molecule: transfer RNA, 72 nt
Filed under: Ovis aries (sheep)
Lineage: Eukaryota; Metazoa; Chordata; Mammalia; Artiodactyla; Bovidae
Rfam family: tRNA
About the family: Transfer RNA (tRNA) molecules are approximately 80 nucleotides in length. Their secondary structure includes four short double-helical elements and three loops (D, anti-codon, and T loops).
Source: Rfam by way of RNAcentral